Molecule: ribosomal RNA, 486 nt
Filed under: uncultured bacterium
Lineage: Bacteria
Description: partial 16S ribosomal RNA
Rfam family: Bacterial small subunit ribosomal RNA
Source: RNAcentral
AUUGAACGCUGGCGGCAUGCUUUACACAUGCAAGUCGAGCGGCAGCGCGGGGGCAACCCUGGCGGCGAGCGGCGAACGGGUGAGUAAUGCAUCGGAACGUAUCCUCGAGUGGGGGAUAACCCAGCGAAAGUUGGGCUAAUACCGCACGAGCUCUGAGGAGGAACGCGGGGGACCUGCGAGGGCCUCGCGCUGGUGGAGCGGCCGAUGUCCGAUUAGCUAGUUGGUGGGGUAAAGGCUUACCAAGGCGACGAUCGGUAGCUGGUCUGAGAGGAUGAUCAGCCACACUGGGACUGAGACACGGCCCAGACGACUACGGGAGGCAGCAGUGGGGAAUUUUGGACAAUGGGGGCAACCCUGAUCCAGCCAUGCCGCGUGAGUGAAGAAGGCCUUCGGGUUGUAAAGCUCUUUCGGACGGAACGAAAUGGGCGGGACUAAUACUCCUGUCUGAUGACGGUACCGUAAGAAGAAGCACCGGCUAACUACGUG